This 279-nucleotide ribosomal RNA is filed under the name uncultured bacterium. RNAcentral's name for it is "partial 16S ribosomal RNA". It matches the Rfam family "Bacterial small subunit ribosomal RNA", at positions 506 to 784 of the family's 1533-position model. The record is from RNAcentral.
UGCCAGCAGCCGCGGUAAUACGGAGGGUGCAAGCAUUAAUCGGAAUUACUGGGCGUAAAGAGUGCGUAGGCGGUUAGGUAAGUCAGAUGUGAAAUCCCGGAGCUUAACUCCGGAACUGCCUUUAAAACUGGUAAGCUAGAGGAUGUGAGAGGUGAGUGGAAUUCCGAGUGUAGAGGUGAAAUUCGUAGAUAUUCGGAAGAACACCAGUGGCGAAGGCGACUCACUGGCACAUUUCUGACGCUGAGGCGCGAAAGCGUGGGGAGCAAACAGGAUUAGAUA